ACUGUUGCUGUCGAUGAUUACAUUUUGCUGUCUGAAUCUUGUGAAGAUUCCUCAGCAUUCGUCACUACCACUGAGACAGUAACGGC
Engraulis encrasicolus (European anchovy) is the source of this 86-nucleotide small nucleolar RNA. RefSeq annotates it as small nucleolar RNA SNORD70. The record is from RefSeq and is a predicted model, not a curated record. NCBI's taxonomy places the organism in Eukaryota, Metazoa, Chordata, Actinopteri, Clupeiformes, Engraulidae. The transcript has a single exon.